Molecule: long non-coding RNA, 199 nt
Filed under: Elaeis guineensis (African oil palm)
Lineage: Eukaryota; Viridiplantae; Streptophyta; Magnoliopsida; Arecales; Arecaceae
Description: long non-coding RNA (EGUI_LNC064341)
Source: RNAcentral
UACUUUGUAUAUGAGACACAAAUCUGAAAUUUUUGAAAGGUUCAAAGAAUUCAGAUGAAAAUAGAGAAAUAAAUCAAAAAAAUUUUAAAAAUACUUCGAUUAGAUCAAGGAUGCAAUACCAAUGAAAAAUUUUUUUUGAUUAUCUCAUAAAAUGGUAUUAUUUCAUAUUGGACUACUUUUAGUACAUCUCAGCUCAACG